GGGGACCUCGAGUGCGUGCGCAUUGCGUACGCUUUUCAUGUGCCUAAAAAGCACGUGGAAUAAGGGCCGGGCAAGACCGGUGCCAGCCGCCGCGGUAACACCGGCGGCUCAAGUGGUGGCCGCUUUUAUUGGGCUUAAAGGGUCCGUAGCCGGGCCAGUUAGUCCUCUGGGAAAUCUUACGGCUUAACCGUAAGGCUGCCAAAGGAUACUGCUGGCCUUGGGACCGGGAGAGGCAAGAGGUACCUCAGGGGUAGGAG
This 257-nucleotide ribosomal RNA is filed under the name uncultured archaeon. RNAcentral's name for it is "partial 16S ribosomal RNA". It matches the Rfam family "Archaeal small subunit ribosomal RNA", at positions 374 to 632 of the family's 1478-position model. The record is from RNAcentral.